Molecule: non-coding RNA, 114 nt
Organism: Acanthosepion pharaonis
Lineage: Eukaryota; Metazoa; Mollusca; Cephalopoda; Sepiida; Sepiidae
Source: the annotation of a GenBank genome assembly
UUAUGGCCAUAUCACAUAGAAACACAUGUUUCCAUACAAUCCCUGAAUUCAAGCAAUGUCGAGCCUGGUCAGUACCUAGAUAGGUGACCGCUUGGGAAUACCAAGUGCUGUAAG